This 255-nucleotide ribosomal RNA is filed under the name uncultured bacterium. Its description in RNAcentral is "partial 16S ribosomal RNA". It matches the Rfam family "Bacterial small subunit ribosomal RNA", at positions 524 to 776 of the family's 1533-position model. The record is from RNAcentral.
UACGGGGGGGGGCAAGCGUUUGUUCGGAAUUACUGGGCGUAAAGGGCUCGUAGGCGGCCAACUAAGUCAGACGUGAAAUCCCUCGGCUUAACCGGGGAACUGCGUCUGAUACUGGUUGGCUUGAGUGUGGGAGAGGGAUGCGGAAUUCCAGGUGUAGCGGUGAAAUGCGUAGAUAUCUGGAGGAACACCGGUGGCGAAGGCGGCAUCCUGGACCAUUACUGACGCUGAGGAGCGAAAGCCAGGGGAGCAAACGGG